Long non-coding RNA from Heterocephalus glaber (naked mole-rat), 2183 nucleotides. Lineage: Eukaryota; Metazoa; Chordata; Mammalia; Rodentia; Bathyergidae. The record is from Ensembl.
CGGAGUGGACCACACAGACAAAAUGCUAUAGGAUGGGGAUUGUAAAGAGCAUACAUUAAAGUCUCUCCUGAGAGCUUUAAAAUAUGCCAUGCUCAGGCCACAACACAGACAAAUUAAAUCAGAACCUCUGGGGGUGAGGUGAGGCCCAGGCAUCAGUAUUGGGUUUUUUUUUCCAGUGUCCCAGGUGAAUUCAAUGUGUGGCCAAGUUAGAAACCAGUGCCUUAGAGAGAAUAAGAUGAAAAGAGAAGACUGGGAACCUGACUAAUUUCCAGGAGCCAAUCUGGUCUUUUCCCACUGGGCGAGGGCCUCCAGUGGCUCCGGAAAGCAGAUCACUCACAUAACAUUAACCUCCAAAGCAAGAGCACUUUGGCUAAAUUCAAAAACUGUUAUUUUUUGAGACAGGGUACAUUUCUUUUUUUUUUUUUUUUUUUUUUUAUGGUACUGGGGAUUGAACUCAGGACCUUGCGCUUUCAAGGCAGGCACUGGAACCACUGAGCUAAAUCCCCGGCCCCAGGGUAUAUUUCUGAUGGAACAGAGUUUUAUUUCAAAGGCCUGGAAAAACAUGUAAUCUCUGUUAUGGUUUGGAACUUUAAAGUCCCCCAAAGGCCACCUGUUUAAGACUUGGUCACCAGCCUGUGGUGCUGCUGGGAGGUAGUGGGACUUUUUUUUUUUUCGUGAUACUGGAGAUUAAACCUAGGCCCUCUGCACUAAGGAGCGAUAAGAAACCUAACCCACACGACCUGUAGAGUAAGUUUGCCGGUUCACUGACUCCCAUCACAGAAAAAUAAUUUUCAGGACACAUCAAUGAGAGGCACAAAGGGAAUUAUUAGGCAGAAGUUUAAAAAUAACACUCAAAGGAAUAGAGUGCAAGCCCUCAAGAGAGAGAGGCACCUUAUUUCCCGGAACUGGGACAUUUAUGCUUCUCUUGAGGGACUGGAAACCCCAGGAAAAGGUGGCUGAGCCCUCAUAUUACAGGUGCUGUCCCAUGUUACAAAUAUGAGCCCAGAGUUUUUUAGAUGGAUUAUGUAAGCAUUAUUUUAAUUCCCUCAAUCUGUCCCUUUAUCUUAGAAUUAGGAUUCUGAUCUUUUCCUUCUGAGUUAAGCCAAUUUAUGGACUCUCGGGAUUCCUGAGGCAUGUUGGGGGAGAUGGGUCUGGAAGGAGAGGGGCCUGAAUGUGACCAAGGGAACAUCAACACCCUGAGUGACUUCCACAGGAUCCCAGAAGUUUCUGUCUUCUUAAAAGUACAAUCUUUAGUUAUGAUUUUCCGUGUCUCCUUUCUACCUUUUAUAUUUCUUCUUUCUUGCCUCAUCCUGAGCAAUGCUGUUGUUAAAUACGCACCUCCUGUGGACCUUCCAUGCAAUACAACUGGACCAUAUGCGCUUCCGGGCACUGACUGCCCACUUAUCUGCAGAUGUGGAGGGUUACGAGGUCCAUCCUGUAAAGGCCCCACCACCCUUCACUCCAUGCUGAGGACCAGGCCUGCAACACUGGAACUCCUGGUGGACAAAACGCAUCACAACUACACCAAUUACCAAAAGUAUGAAGCGGAAAGAGACCCCUGGGACAGAUGAUAAUGCCACCGCAGGGAGCAGGGGAAGAGGAGCAUGCUGGGAGGACAAUUCCCUAAGGAAUGACGGACCAACAAGAUGAAAAGUAGCAGGAUCCUGGAAGGACUGGAACAGCUGCCAACUGGACUCUCAUCACAGACUUGGCGAAAGACUUGGGAAUUAUCCGUCCUCUGUUGGAGGAGGAGCUCUCUGCCCAAGCAUCCUAAACCUUCACCCUCUAUAAUAGGCCAUUCAUUUAAGGUGCACAAUGACCCAGAGAGUUGGCUACUAUUAUUAUUCCUGUUUCACAUGUAAGGUUACUGAGGCUCAGAGAAGGCUGAAUAAUUUGCCCAAAUCUAUCGCUGAACCGCCCUAAAUGGACCCAAUCUUACAAGCUUGCUUGGUGCUUGGAUGGGAGGCUGCUUAUCACUGCCAGAAGCCCGAGGCUUUACAAUAAUAAUAAAUUCACCCACAAUUCCCAAACCAUGUGGUGCAAACAACAUCAGAAGCCAGAUUCCUUCAGCUCUAAAGAACACACACAAGUUCUGACUCACAAGUUCCAGGGCUGAGGCUGAGAAUCUGCAUUUGUAUAAAGCUCCUCUGUUACAGUUUGGAUUAAAAAUAAAAUGUGCCCAC